Molecule: long non-coding RNA, 498 nt
Filed under: Pan troglodytes (chimpanzee)
Lineage: Eukaryota; Metazoa; Chordata; Mammalia; Primates; Hominidae
Description: lincRNA
Source: RNAcentral
GAAGUUCCUUUUCCAGAGUUCUCACCUACUAAUUUGGCUAACAUUACCAAUGGUAACAGACCCCAUGUAUCCGCCACAAUUGUUGUGAGUUGCACAGGAAAAAGACUGGGAGGAAAUCUUCACUUUUCUUCUGCAACAGCAACCAACAGAAAUGAAAGAGCCAGGGGAUUUUGCAAAAUAUCAACUCCUGAGAACUAAGAAUGAGAGCCUUUCCUGCCAAGUCCAUUCUGUGCCAGUCAUCAUAAAAUAUGACCCUUCCUUCCAGAAGAACAAUGCGCUGUGAUCUUUGGCUACUCAAGCUUUACAUCAUCCAUAUUACCCUGCAGCAGGAACAGAUUGAUGGGUAUUUUCACUGCCCCCAGAGAGUUACCCUCUAAUCCUUCAUUUGCUGCUCCAGCACAAUUGCACGGAAGCAAUAGCAGGGAUAGUUAGAGUGCAUACAAUUGAUUCCAAUCCAUCCAUCACUUAAACUACUGUCUAGGACAUCAGGAGGCCACA